This 407-nucleotide long non-coding RNA is filed under the name Rattus norvegicus (Norway rat). Its description in RNAcentral is "long non-coding RNA NONRATT001228". The record is from RNAcentral. Lineage: Eukaryota; Metazoa; Chordata; Mammalia; Rodentia; Muridae.
CACAUUUCUGCCCCGCCACCGUCUUUCCCGCCGCAUACUAUUAGAGAUAGCUACUGCUCCUGAUCCCCCACCUCGUCCCAAGCCAGUCAAGAUGAAGGUCAACAGGAUGCUGCAGCCAGUGCCCAAGCAAGAAGGACGUACAGUGGUGGUGGUGAACAGCCCACGGGCUCCCCUUGGCCCUGUCCCAGUCCGCCCCCCUCCAGGCCCUGAGGUCUCAACCCAGCCCACUCUUGGUCCAGUUCCUCCAGUGUUGCCAACACCACUCAUGGUGUCGGCUUCGCCUGCUGGAACCCCAGUUGUUCCUGCAUCCCGGCCGCCUGGACCUGUUCUCUUGUCUCCCUUGCAGCCAAAUACUGGUCCUCUCCCCCAGGUGUUGCCAUCCCCCAUGGGAGUCAUGAGUGGCACCU